RNAcentral lists this ribosomal RNA (506 nucleotides) under uncultured bacterium. RNAcentral's name for it is "partial 16S ribosomal RNA". It matches the Rfam family "Bacterial small subunit ribosomal RNA", at positions 30 to 523 of the family's 1533-position model. The record is from RNAcentral.
AUUGAACGCUGGCGGCAGGCCUAACACAUGCAAGUCGAACGGUAACAGGAAACAGCUUGCUGUUUCGCUGACGAGUGGCGGACGGGUGAGUAAUGUCUGGGAAACUGCCUGAUGGAGGGGGAUAACUACUGGAAACGGUAGCUAAUACCGCAUAACGUCGCAAGACCAAAGAGGGGGACCUUCGGGCCUCUUGCCAUCGGAUGUGCCCAGAUGGGAUUAGCUAGUAGGUGGGGUAACGGCUCACCUAGGCGAAGAGCCCUAGCUGGUCUGAGAGUAUGACAAGCCACACUGGAACUGAGACACGGUCCAGACUCCUAAGGGAGGCAGCGGUGGGGAAUAUUGCACAAUGGGCGCAAGCCUGAUGCAGCCAUGCCGCGUGUAUGGAGAAGGCCUUCGGGUUGUAAAGUACUUUCAGCGGGGAGGAAGGGAGUAAAGUCAAUACCUUUGCUCAUUGACGUUACCCGCAGAAGAAGCACCGGCUAACUCCGUGCCAGCAGCCGCAGUAA